AGAGUUUGAUUCUGGCUCAGGAUGAACGCUGGCGGCGUGCUUAACACAUGCAAGUCGAACGAAGCUCCUUGAACUGAAGAUUCGUCUGAUGGAAUAGGAAGACUUAGUGGCGGACGGGUGAGUAACGCGUGGGUAACCUGCCGUAUACAGGGGGAUAACAGUUAGAAAUGACUGCUAAUACCGCAUAAGCGCACAGUGAGGCAUCUCACAGUGUGAAAAACUCCGGUGGUAUACGAUGGACCCGCGUCUGAUUAGCCAGUUGGCAGGGUAACGGCCUACCAAAGCGACGAUCAGUAGCCGGCCUGAGAGGGUGAACGGCCACAUUGGGACUGAGACACGGCCCAAACUCCUACGGGAGGCAGCAGUGGGGAAUAUUGCACAAUGGGGGAAACCCUGAUGCAAGCGACGCCGCGUGAGUGAAGAAGCAUUUCGGUGCGUAAAGCUCUAUCAGCAGGGAAGAAAAUGACGGUACCUGACUAAGAAGCCCCGGCUAACUACGUGCCAGCCGCAGC
Molecule: ribosomal RNA, 512 nt
Filed under: uncultured bacterium
Lineage: Bacteria
Description: bacterial SSU rRNA
Rfam family: Bacterial small subunit ribosomal RNA
Source: RNAcentral